Hemicordylus capensis (graceful crag lizard) is the source of this 3255-nucleotide long non-coding RNA. RefSeq lists it as uncharacterized. The record is from RefSeq and is a predicted model, not a curated record. The transcript has 2 exons. Lineage: Eukaryota; Metazoa; Chordata; Lepidosauria; Squamata; Cordylidae.
ACCACCGUGCGAACCAAGCAAGCACCGCCUCAGUCAGGGCUGGGCCCAGCCCUCCAAGCCGACGUGGCCGGGCCUCGAGCGCCCUCCGCCGGUCGCCCCCAGGAAGCGCAUCAACCCCCGGGAUGCUCAGGCUGGCACCUUUUUUUUUUAAAACCCUGAGCAGCAGCAGCUGGGCGUGCUGGGAGGCAGGAACUGACCAGAGGCACUCCGUUUUCCAGCCGAGUGGGGAGGGGAGGGAAACCUAGCCUUUUCUCAUCUCAGUCCCACAGCACACCAGGCAGGGGGGGCUUCAUUUGUUUAGGCCACUUUUAUUCAACCACCGCCGCCUCUUACCUUUUAACCAUCAUUUCAGACGUCACAACUUCACUGUAAAAAAAUCAGAUUUAUCUGCACGUGUUACCUCUACAAUUAUGGCUGCAGAACGCCACGUGAUCGCAGGAGACUCAGGCAGGGGCACAGCUAUCAUGAAACGGGGCACGAGGAGGAAAGGAAAACAAAUGUCUUUGGGCCCCUAAGGGAGAAGGGGCGUAGGGGCCAACAAGCAGAUCCACAGCUUGCUCUUCACUCUGCAGCUUACCAAAGGGAAACAAAAGGGCCUGUUCGCUUUUUGUCCCAGGACCCAUUCUAACCUUGGUACAACUCUGGAAUAAAUCAACUUCUAAGCCCUGUUCCGACAUUGUACCUGCCUUCAGUUGCAAAGCAGCCAUUUGCUGGCGGAAAACAGGAAGAGCAGACUCACACAAGAACUUUUGAAAUUUCACCUCUUCUGUAUAGGAAACGGUGUGGAAUGAGGAGCAGUACUGAUUAGACUAUCUGACAAACCCAAUUAGUACCCAGGAGAUGUAGAGGUGAGAAGAGGUCAUUUAGGAGUGACAUGGAAGUACUUCUUCAGGCAGCACAAAGUUAACUUAUGGAAUUCUCUGCCACUCGAGGUGGUGAUUACCACGAACUUGGAUGGCUUUAAAGGACAGACCGAGGACAGCUCAAUUACUACUAGUCGGGUGGGCACAGGCCACUUCCAGCUUCAGAGGGAGGAUGCCACUAAGUCCUGGGGGCGGAGGCAACGGUGGGACAGGGGACAAGCCUUCACCCCCUGGCUGUGGGUUUCUCACAGAUAGCUGGUGGGCCACUGUCUGAAUCAGGGUGCUGGACUAGAUGGACCUUCUUGAGCCCAACUGAGCAGGGCUGUUCUUAUCACCUGGUUAACUUCUGCUUGACACCUGCAACUGACUGCUAAAUGUGCCAUCAAUACUAGGCUGGAGUAGAUCUGAGUUUCUCACAAGAUCACGUCAUGAUCUUCAAGAACCUGCACUGGAUUCUAACUGCUCCUUUCCCGUAGCUGAGUCACGUAGGCACAGCCCAACAUAUUGAGACACAUCAAAUACCAUCUGCCCCACGCCCAUUCUCCCCCUGGGGGCCAGCCCUAACCCCUGUACAUCAUUGACAGAAGCCACCUUUUACUACACCAGCUUGGACACACUUUACAAAGGUUUCAAACGGUUGGAUUGGAACCUGAGAAAGAAUUAGAUGGCCCAACAGCCACUGGUCGUGUUGCUGUUCUCCUCCUGAGCUGAAAAGGCUUACAAAGAUCAGAGUGAGGGCUCCUAAUUGAACCUGUGCAAGUUUUUACAAGGGGAGUAGGCCUAGGAUAGGUUUAUAAGCCAUUACAAGAGCAAGAAGUGAUGUUUCUGCCAGUAGUCCCUCAUGCUCAGAUCAGGCACUGGGCAUCCAACUGAUGCAAUCCAACUGAUGCAAGCUCAGGCACCUUCUUACCUUGCAGCCACAGCCAACAUCACCCUUGCUUCCCUACCACUUCAAAAAAAAGGCAGGACAGCAGAGGAGGAGCAGAAUAUAAUGCCAAGUAGAUCCCAAAGCUCCAACAUUCCACCCUCUGUUUUUUGAACAGACAAAAAGACAAAGGCAGCAGGGAGUGUUACGGCUACAGCAACAGCAGCAGAUACAGGUUUAGCAAGACAGUGGGUUGGCGGAGGUCCCACUAUGGCACCUGAGGCAGCCACUUCACCCUGCCUCCGCGGGCAACCCCUGCUGCUUGCUCACACCUCAGCAAAAAGUGGCAUAAUAUAGAGGAAUUGCAGGUGUCUGGUUGCUCCCAAACCAUUAAAAUAUGUUCUUGUUUUUCCAAUCUCAAGUCAUUAAUACCAUCUUUGUAAGCAAACAAGAUUGUAUAGCCAUUACCAUUUUUGUUUCUCCAAUUGUUCUGUGGAAGUAAAUGACACUGGUUAGAGCUGACACAUUCUGAUUAUACUCGUAACAAGCAAAUCACAAGAGUUGAAGGGAACAGUGUCUGCCUUCUAGUCCAAUCUGUGAUGCAAUGUAGGUAGUCUAGCUUCCACUUCCCCAACAGAUGUCUGUCCAGCUUCUGAUGAAAAGUCUCCAACAACUGAAAGCUCACUCCCUACUCAGCAUCUAGAACUUUUCAAGUCCACCACGCAAGUAUCCUGGAUUUUUGCUAUUCUGAGGGGGAAUGUAUCAGAAAUGUGCUCAGCCAAUUGUCUAUUUUCUUGUACUACGGCUACUGGAAGGAAACACAAUGGAACUUGGGAUAUACAACUGCGGGGGGGGGGGAGGGACCUAGCACUCCUUCCUCCAUCCUCAAGUUAGUUGAGGCCAUGAACAGCUUUGCCUUGCCAGCAGCUGAAUGGGGGUACAAAUGGAACUGUUCCUCCAGUUGAAUGUCUGCCUGGAAAUUUACUAUAGUAGGUAGCUUUUUGCUGUAACACUUUCAGCAAAAGAUGCUCAAGGCAGAUAUUAACCAGGUGCACCUCUAAGGAAUGAGUGGAGCUACAACUGUUGAAUUUUGGGCCUAGACAUCCCAGUGUCAAGCUGAAAUAUCAGCAUUACAUAUGGGUACAUGAAGCCCAAAGUAUAAAACAAGUAAUUGAGUGUACAAGCUCUUUACUACUUACAUGGUAAAGAAGCUGUAAUCACCUGAAACUGCAGUUUCUAAAUUUACUAAAGCAGGAAAAAUAUUGUAAUUACAAACUUGAACGUAAAGAUUUUAUUUUCCUCCAAAAAAAAAAAGAAUCAGAAAACUAACAGAAUUAUAUGCAUGUAUUGUGUGAGUAGUGUUAAAUUAUUUCUUCUGUAAUACUUACAAUUUGCACAGCAGUUAGGGUUUUUAAAUGACUUCCAACUGUAUUAUAUUCUUAAAUAUAUACAGGAGUAUGUUGAAUGCCUUAACACAAUCUUUGUUAGAGAUUAUAAAUAUUAAAAUAAUUUGAGACAAUCCCACUA